This 796-nucleotide long non-coding RNA is filed under the name Androctonus crassicauda. Lineage: Eukaryota; Metazoa; Arthropoda; Arachnida; Scorpiones; Buthidae. The record is from RNAcentral.
AACUAGUUUAUGGUUAUUUAAUUGAAUAAGCUUUGGUGGGGACCACUUCCGGUAUAUAUUCACGUCGGUUCAGGUUCUACAAUUCAAAAAGCGUAAUUUUCCAACAUUUAAAGUAGAAAAAUGAUUAGCUAGCUGGUACAUCACACAUAUGAAAAAUCAUGAAUAGACACACUCCUCAGCCAUUGAAGUAAUAGACAAACUGAACGAAUUAGAACCACUUUGUGAUGAAGUCAUGAAAAUCUACGAUUUUGAAGCUUUAAACCCCACCAUAUAUCUGGAACUAGCAUGCAUUGAAUUAUAUCAUUUAUUUUUAACAUACCUUCUGAAACAAAAAUGUGAUCCAGUAAUCUUGAAGAUUUAUGCUACAUAUUAUUAUAUGAAUCAUAUUUUAAUUACAGUGAAUUAUUUUAUAGACCAAAAUAGGAGAGUACCAAUGGGUAGUCCAUUAUCCCCAAUAAUUGCUGAAUUAAUCGUAAGAAGAAAAGGACAAUCAGCCCUACCUAUAUUAAAUAAUGAGUAAAAAUUUACAAAAGCUAUGUCGACAACAUAUUAAUUAUCAGAGAGAAAAAAAAAAGAAAAUAUGUUGGCUAUUGAACACAUUAUUUCUGAUGUGAACCUGGGACUAAUUUAAAAAAAAAAAAAUCCAACAAAUUAGAAAUAAAUUAUUGUAGUUUUAUAAAAGUGGUAAAACUCGUCACAAUAGCAGUUGUGAGGAGGCUUUUUUGGUUCAGCAAAUGUUUUCGGUGAGAGUGCUUACCAUCUUCAGGCUUGCAAAUGCGGCGGAUUUAGAAUAUUG